RNAcentral lists this transfer RNA (71 nucleotides) under Hofstenia miamia. Its description in RNAcentral is "tRNA-Leu for anticodon UAA". It matches the Rfam family "tRNA". From Rfam's summary of the family: Transfer RNA (tRNA) molecules are approximately 80 nucleotides in length. Their secondary structure includes four short double-helical elements and three loops (D, anti-codon, and T loops). Further hydrogen bonds mediate the characteristic L-shaped molecular structure. tRNAs have two regions of fundamental functional importance: the anti-codon, which is responsible for specific mRNA codon recognition, and the 3' end, to which the tRNAs corresponding amino acid is attached (by aminoacyl-tRNA synthetases). tRNAs cope with the degeneracy of the genetic code in two manners: having more than one tRNA (with a specific anti-codon) for a particular amino acid; and 'wobble' base-pairing, i.e. permitting non-standard base-pairing at the 3rd anti-codon position. The record is from RNAcentral. Lineage: Eukaryota; Metazoa; Xenacoelomorpha; Acoela; Hofsteniidae.
CGCGAAGUGAUUUAAUGGUAGAAUGUUUGUCUUAAGCACAAAAGUUGCAGGUUCGAUCCCUGCCUUUGCAU